RNAcentral lists this ribosomal RNA (1590 nucleotides) under Triticum aestivum (bread wheat). RNAcentral's name for it is "partial small subunit ribosomal RNA". The record is from RNAcentral. Lineage: Eukaryota; Viridiplantae; Streptophyta; Magnoliopsida; Poales; Poaceae.
AUGGCCGCGCCGCCGCCCAAGCAGGAGGAGCUGCAGCCGCACGCCGUCCGGGACCAGCUGCCGGCCGUCUCCUACUGCCUUACCAGCCCGCCCCCAUGGCCGGAGGCCAUCCUGCUGGGCUUCCAGCACUACCUCGUCAUGCUCGGCACCACCGUCAUCAUCCCCACCGCGCUCGUCCCGCAGAUGGGCGGCGGCAACGAGGAGAAGGCGCGGGUGGUGCAGACGCUGCUCUUCGUCGCCGGGAUCAACACGCUGCUGCAGAGCUUCCUUGGCACGCGCCUCCCCGCCGUCAUCGGGGGCUCCUACACCUUCGUCGCGCCCACCAUCUCCAUCGUCCUCGCCGCCCGCUACAGCGGCAUCGCCGACCCGCACGAGAAGUUCCUCCGCACCAUGCGCGGCACGCAGGGCGCGCUCAUCGUCGCCUCCACGCUCCAGAUCAUCAUGGGCUUCAGCGGCCUCUGGCGCAUUGUCGUCAGGCUGCUGAGCCCGCUGUCGGCGGCGCCCCUCGUCGCGCUCGUCGGGUUCGGCCUCUACGAGCUUGGAUUCCCAAGUGUUGCGAAAUGCAUCGAGAUCGGUCUUCCAGAGAUCAUACUGCUGGUGGCUCUUUCCCAGUACGUACCUCAUCUGGUGCCUUUGCUGGGGACUGCAUUCGAGCGGUUCGCCGUCAUAAUGUCGGUGGCCAUCGUGUGGCUUUACGCCUUCUUCCUCACCGUCGGUGGGGCGUACAAGAAUGCUGCUCCAAAAACCCAAUUCCACUGCCGCACUGAUCGAUCUGGCCUAGUUGGGGGUGCUCCCUGGAUAACUGUGCCAUACCCAUUCCAGUGGGGAGCACCGACUUUUGAUGCUGGUGAAUGCUUUGCCAUGAUGGCAGCUGCUUUUGUUGCUCUUGUGGAGUCUACUGGUGCUUUCAUUGCGGUUUCACGGUACGCCAGUGCAACGCCAUGCCCUCCUUCUGUUAUGAGUCGCGGCAUCGGUUGGCAGGGGGUUGGCAUUUUGCUGGCCGGCUUAUUUGGAACGGCUAAUGGGUGCUCUGUAUCUGUGGAAAAUGCUGGGCUGCUAGGUUUGACACGUGUUGGCAGCCGGCGUGUGGUGCAGAUUUCCGCUGGGUUUAUGCUAUUCUUCUCUAUUCUCGGGAAAUUUGGAGCUGUUUUCGCAUCAAUUCCGGGCCCAAUAAUCGCAGCCAUAUACUGUCUUCUCUUUGCAUAUGUUGGUAUGGCAGGGGUCGGGUUCCUUCAGUUUUGCAACCUCAACAGCUUCCGAACAAAAUUCAUCCUGGGAUUCUCCUUGUUCAUGGGUAUAUCGGUUCCACAGUAUUUCAAUGAGUACACCUCUGUUGCAGGCUUUGGCCCGGUACACACGCACGCAAGAUGGUUCAACGACAUGAUCAACGUGGUGUUCUCGUCGAAAGCGUUUGUCGGAGGCGCCACCGCCCUUCUCCUGGACAGCACCCUGCACAGGCACGACAGCACCGCCAGGAAGGACCGGGGCCACCAUUUCUGGGACAGGUUCAGGUCUUUCAAGACAGACCCGAGAAGCGAGGAGUUCUACUCCCUGCCCUUCAACCUCAACAAGUUCUUCCCGUCCUUCUGA